This 73-nucleotide small RNA is filed under the name Cervus elaphus hippelaphus. Lineage: Eukaryota; Metazoa; Chordata; Mammalia; Artiodactyla; Cervidae. The record is from RNAcentral.
CCUGUGAGCAGAGUACUCCAGCCUGGGCAACAUAGCGAGACCCUGUCUCUAAAAAAAAAGCAAAAGAAAAAAA